Molecule: non-coding RNA, 1961 nt
Organism: Musa acuminata subsp. malaccensis (wild Malaysian banana)
Lineage: Eukaryota; Viridiplantae; Streptophyta; Magnoliopsida; Zingiberales; Musaceae
Source: RefSeq, a predicted model, not a curated record
CCACGGUGCAGCAGUUAUAUCCCAGGAGAUGUCCAAGACAGAUGCCAGCCGAUGGAUCGCCCUCAUCAACCAUUCCUCCCGUCAGGGCCUCCACCGCCGCACCCUCCACCUCUUCCACCAGAUGCGCGGGCAAGGCUUCGCCCCGCACCGCUGCAUCCUCCCCAGCGUCAUUCGAGCCUGCGCCCGCCUUGCCGAUCCGGAUGCCGGCCGAGCUUCGCACGCCGUCGCCCUCCGUUCCUCGCUGGACCGCGACGCCUUCGUCCGCAGUGCCCUGAUCGACAUGUACUGCAAGUGCCGGCGAGUUCCCGACGCCCGCCAUGUGUUCGACGCAACGCUUGACAAGGAUCUGGUCGUCUGGAAUUCCGUGGUUUCGGGCUACGCCCACCAAGGCGCGGCAGAGGCCGCCAUGGUUCUCUCCAUCAAGAUGAGGUCUCUGGGGGUAAAACCAGAUCUCGUAACGUGGAACGCCCUCAUUUUCGGGUUCGCUCACAAGGGCGAAGAUGAUACAGCUAUGGACUUGUUGAGGACGAUGCAGUCCGACGGGGUCGAUCCCGACACGUUUUCCUGGACCUCGAUCGUAUCUGGGUUGGUGGUCAAUUUCAACUACGGCAAGGCAUUCGAGAUCUUUAGGCACAUGGUGAAGACUGCAGGAAUCCGGCCGAGCUCUGUGACGAUCAGUAGUCUUCUGCCGGCGUGCGCCGACCUGGUGGAUUUGAGACGCGGGAAAGAGAUUCACGGCUACGCCCUGGUCGCGGGAGUUGGACGGGACUUGUACGUCGGCAGUGCGCUAAUCGACAUGUACGCCAAAUGCGGCCUCGUGGCUGAAGCGAGCAAGAUCUUUCAUGACAUGAAGGAGAGGAACACGGUGUCAUGGAACUCGAUGAUAUUUGGGUACGCGAAUCAGGGGCACUGCCACGAGGCCAUCCAGCUUUUCGAUCAGAUGGAGGGUGAGAGAGCGAAACCAGAUCAUCUGACGUUUACAGCGGUUCUCUCCGCUUGUAGCCAUGGCGGAAUGGUGGAGCUGGGCAAGAGCUUGUUCCGGUUGAUGGAGGAGGCACACGGGAUAGAGCCGAGGUUGGAGCAUUACGCUUGCAUGGUGGACAUGCUAGGCAGAGCUGGGGAGUUCGUGGGGGCCUGUCGCUUGAUCGCAGAGAUGCCCAUGGAGCCAGACGCGUUUGUGUGGGGAGCGUUGCUGGCGACGAGUCGGAAGCACGGCAACGUGGAGCUCGCUGAACUGGCAGCUUCGCAUUUGUUAGAACUCGAGCCAGAGAGCGCAGGGAGCUGCGUGCUUCUGUCGAGCGCUCUGGCGGAUGCUGGGAGGACAGUAGAUGCUGCCAAGGUGAAGAAACUAAUUAAGCGACGGAAGAUGAGGACGUUGAUGGGGUGCAGUUGGAUGCAAAUGUAAUAGGGAAAAAACCGGGAACAGGUAUUUCUAACUCUGCUUUUAUUACAUGUUUGCUUUUUCUUUUUCUUUUUUCUUUUUGCAAGAGAAGUAUCGUACAUUUGAUGACGCAACGCAAACCAUCGAUGAUGUACGAACAUGAGAGCAUUGCAUGAGGGCAAUUAAACUAUCUGUGAAGCAUAGUUGGAUGAAGGCAAGUUUAAGGAGUCGAGUCUCUCAUUCGUCGCUCACAACUCUGUGUAACAUAUCUCAGAAGGCGUGCUGGCUUUCUCCUCGAUUUGAGGGAAUCUUGCUGAAUGUACUCGGACUGAAGAGAGAGUAACAUUUGUUGGUGCUGUGAAACAAAGGCAUGCGUGUAAGCUACCAUCUGCUCUUGCAGCAGCUUGACAAACAUGGUGAGUUAAGUCUGACGUUGUGAUGGCUGCUGCUCCAUCACCAUACAACUACAAGAUGAAGACAAAACUAGCCUCCGGAUGAAGCACAAGGUGAACUAACUUGCUAUAUCUCAGACCAAUUCCACUAGUAUGACUAGUAAAAAAUCUUCUAGUUCUAGCUGCUA